Molecule: ribosomal RNA, 329 nt
Filed under: uncultured eukaryote
Lineage: Eukaryota
Description: partial 18S ribosomal RNA
Rfam family: Eukaryotic small subunit ribosomal RNA
Source: RNAcentral
CCCUUAGAUGUUCUGGGCCGCACGCGCGCUACACUGACACGUUCAUCAAGUCUAUAACCUUGACCGAGAGGUCUGGGUAAUCUUUUAAAAACGUGUCGUGCUGGGGAUAGAUUAUUGCAAUUAUUAAUCUUCAACGAGGAAUUCCUAGUAAACGCAAGUCAUCAACUUGCAUUGAUUACGUCCCUGCCCUUUGUACACACCGCCCGUCGCUACUACCGAUUGAAUGAUUUAGUGAGUACCAGGGACCGAGCGCUUUGGUUGGGUUUCCUUCCCUAGCGCUUGGGAACUGUCGCAAACUUGACCAUUUAGAGGAAGUAAAAGUCGCAACA